CCAAAUCCACAAUCUCAGUAAAUUAGAAUAUUGUGAAAAGGUGCCAUAUUCUAGGCUCACAGUGUCCCACUCUAAUCAGCUAAGUAAGCCAUAACACCUGCAAUGGUCCCCUUUUACAUUGCAUUACUGAAAUAAAUCAACUUUUGCACGAUAUUCUAAUCUUUCGAGUAUCACCUGUACAUCUUCCCUAUAUAGACCAAAG
Pelobates cultripes (western spadefoot toad) is the source of this 202-nucleotide non-coding RNA. The record is from the annotation of a GenBank genome assembly. Lineage: Eukaryota; Metazoa; Chordata; Amphibia; Anura; Pelobatidae.